Molecule: small nucleolar RNA, 134 nt
Organism: Neltuma alba
Lineage: Eukaryota; Viridiplantae; Streptophyta; Magnoliopsida; Fabales; Fabaceae
Source: RefSeq, a predicted model, not a curated record
GAGCGAGAAUGUCAAUAAGAGAACAGAUGGCAUACACUGCCUUGAAGAUUGGCGAGAAUAUACAUGACAAUUCUCCUUGCCUGUCCAAUUGAUUUCAACUUGUUCUGAUUUGGCCUCAAACAAGUCACUACAUC